This is a long non-coding RNA of Acanthopagrus latus (yellowfin seabream), 544 nucleotides long. RefSeq lists it as uncharacterized. Lineage: Eukaryota; Metazoa; Chordata; Actinopteri; Spariformes; Sparidae. The transcript is spliced from 3 exons. The record is from RefSeq and is a predicted model, not a curated record.
CUGUCUUGUAUUCUGUUUGCUGUUCUCUGUUUCUUGAUCCAUGCUCCUGAUUCAUGUUCCUGAUCCAUGCUCCUGUCCAUGCGCUUCUGUCCCGUUUUGAGCUUACUACACUCCUGUUCGCCUCCGGAGAAUGUUUCCUGACACUUCCAACCUUUGUUAUAAAUUGGUCAACUCCCAAGGUCCCCACGGUUGACAUGUGGACAUCACAGAUUUCUGAACUUAUUCCUCUCGAGAAGUUGACUCAUGACCUCAAUAACAAAUCGGACAUGUUUCGGAGGAUCUGGGAACCACUGCACUCCUUCUUACAGAAGCUUUAACUCAGCAUCUAUCCCUGCAAGAUGAGGACUGCCUGUUUUUUCUUUAAUUUUUUCUUUAAUUUAUUCCAUGUAUGUGCUCUUCAUUUACCUGUCUCCCUUUUUGUUUUUCUAAACAUUUACUUAUUUAUUUACUUCACUCUAUGCAUAUGCCUGGUGCAGCGCUCACUGUUGGUUCGGGGUGGGUUUUCCUUGUUUCUUUUUUUUUUUUUUUUCUUUCUUGUUGUGUC